RNAcentral lists this ribosomal RNA (293 nucleotides) under uncultured bacterium. Its description in RNAcentral is "partial 16S ribosomal RNA". It matches the Rfam family "Archaeal small subunit ribosomal RNA", at positions 455 to 747 of the family's 1478-position model. The record is from RNAcentral.
GUGUCAGCCGCCGCGGUAAUACCGGCAGCCCGAGUGAUGGCCGAUCCUAUUGGGCCUAAAGCGUCCGUAGCUGGCUGCGCAAGUCCGUCGGGAAAUCCACGUGCUCAACGCGUGGGCGUCCGGCGGAAACCACUCGGCUUGGGGCCGGAGGACUCGAGGGGUACGUCUGGGGUAGGAGUGAAAUCCCGUAAUCCUGGACGGACCGCCGAUGGCGAAAGCACCUCGAGAGGACGGACCCGACAGUGAGGGACGAAAGCCAGGGUCUCGAACCGGAUUAGAUACCCCGGUAGACC